RNAcentral lists this ribosomal RNA (318 nucleotides) under uncultured Paludibacter sp. RNAcentral describes it as "partial 16S ribosomal RNA". Lineage: Bacteria; Pseudomonadati; Bacteroidota; Bacteroidia; Bacteroidales; Paludibacteraceae. The record is from RNAcentral.
GGAGUUUGGACCGUGUCUCAGUUCCAAUGUGGGGGACCUUCCUCUCAGAACCCCUACUGAUCGUCGGCUUGGUGGGCCGUUACCUCACCAACCACCUAAUCAGAAGCGUGCUCAUCCAUAAUCCUUAACGUUUCACCAUCUUACCAUGCGGUAUGAUGGCACAUGGAGCUUUAAUUCGGCUUUCGCCGGGCUAUUCCCCGAUUAUGGACAGAUUGCACACCUGUUACGCACCCGUGCGCCGGUCGCCAUCAGUCAAAGCAAGCUUUGACCAUGCUGCCCCUCGACUUGCAUGUGUUAGGCCUGUCGCUAGCGUUCAUC